GGGGAUGCCUAUAUUCGAUACUGUGCACCAAUGCUUUGUUAGCUAGUAACGCCGGAUGUCGUUUGACACAUCCACUCGUACUAAGUGCAAACUUCGUACAAAAGGUAAAGGCUAAGAUCGCUGCGUUUUCGAACGCUUUGACUCCAGCUUUUGCUCCUGUUGUUGCUUAAAUUCAACGACCAUCCGUCAACCUAAUACCUGAUAGGGUUGAGCCGGGUGCUAUUCAUCAGGCUAUAGUCGCCGGUGCUGACCCCGGCAGACCGUACCAAUUGAUCAGCUCGAGGUACAGUCAGUGGAUAGUGCUUCACUGUACUUCUAAAUUCCUCACUAUUCUAUACUAGUAGAAGACAAGCUGCGGGUACGGUAGACGCGGGUGUAACCCCCGCCAUCUCCACCA
Molecule: transfer-messenger RNA, 397 nt
Filed under: Candidatus Kerfeldbacteria bacterium
Lineage: Bacteria; Candidatus Kerfeldiibacteriota
Rfam family: transfer-messenger RNA
About the family: Bacterial tmRNA, also known as 10Sa RNA or SsrA, is named for its dual tRNA and mRNA-like properties. Its role is to liberate the mRNA from a stalled ribosome. To accomplish this part of the tmRNA is used as a reading frame that ends in a translation stop signal.
Source: RNAcentral